RNAcentral lists this long non-coding RNA (310 nucleotides) under Piliocolobus tephrosceles (Ugandan red Colobus). RNAcentral describes it as "lncRNA (ENSPTEG00000038845.1)". The record is from RNAcentral. Lineage: Eukaryota; Metazoa; Chordata; Mammalia; Primates; Cercopithecidae.
UACAGUCUCUGUAAUUUAACAAAAUUUAGUUUAUUUGCUUUUUUGUAAGUAACAUUAGCUUUCUCAAUGUCUGUUUCACCUUCUUUGCAGUCUGUUUAUCCAGCCUGGGGAAGAAACUGGCUCCAUUUAAACAAUGGGACAAAAAAGGUGCAAACUUGACCAGCUUCCCUACCUUUUUUGCAUUAGCGUGGUCAAACAUUUUGCAUCCAGGAAAAGUACUGCAGAAAAUCACACUGUGGGCAGCUAUCUGAACUAUACUGGAAGAAACCAAUUCACCUCAAAUACCAAGGAAAUGGGUGUGAUGUAGGAG